RNAcentral lists this transfer RNA (76 nucleotides) under Camelus bactrianus (Bactrian camel). It matches the Rfam family "tRNA". Rfam says of the family: Transfer RNA (tRNA) molecules are approximately 80 nucleotides in length. Their secondary structure includes four short double-helical elements and three loops (D, anti-codon, and T loops). RNAcentral also lists the same sequence under 2 other names. Lineage: Eukaryota; Metazoa; Chordata; Mammalia; Artiodactyla; Camelidae. The record is from Rfam by way of RNAcentral.
GAGGGUACAGCUUAGUGGUAGAGCUGCAUGCCUAGUAUCAUGUACAAAGUCCUGGGUUCAAACCCCAGUACCUCCA